GCCGAUAUGGAUCGAGUUUUCAAGGAUCUGAAAAACUGAUUCAAAACCCUUUUUGUCGCACAUUUCAAAACUUUACUGUCGAAAAGUCGUAAUCUGACUUCGUGCCUUUAGGAUUUGUUGUUACGAAUGUCGUUAGGAUCAUUGCUGUCAAAAUUGUUUUCCGAAGUGAUAACUUUGAGGUUUUGAGCUUUUGUUUUGGACCAAAACGCCCCUGAACAACAGUAUUUCGAUCCGAUUGUCCGAAAAUUUUUCCGACCGUUUCUUUGCCUUAGUUUUACCCUAAAACUACCUUGUAAACAGACUAGAUCGAAGAAAAAGAUCCGGAGCUCUUUUCUCCUUAUGGCCGAGAUCUAUUUCAAGGGGGGGGGAGUUUUUCGUUUUCGAAAACUUGUCUUUUCGUAUCCGAUUGUUGUAUUCUGAAGCUUUAAUGCUUUGUCUAUCGUUAAUUGGAUGUAUUGUAAUCGAGCUAAUCGAUUUUGUUUGGAUUUCUGCUUUGUUUUCUCCGAGGUUCAGUUGAAGGAACUUUGGGUUUUGUAGAACAUUUGUGUGAAGAGAACCUUGACCAAGAGGUUGGAGCAGCUCGAGGUUAGGGAAACUUACUAUUAGCUAUGACUGCAUGAUAGGCGUCGAUAAAUUCGACUUAUGCUUUAUUUUGAUAUUGAUUAUGAUGAUGAACUGAUGUUAUGAUGUUUUCCAUAACUUAUGAUGUUGAGAUGUUAUUGAAUUGUGCGUUUUGACGCGACUUCGGAGCGAAGAAUCACUGAACUGAUUCAUUUUGAUCUUUCGGGUUGGAUGAACAACCCUAGACAAGUCCAACCACAAGGUUUGAGACUUAGCCCUUCGUUGGUCUACUUAGACUUUCCCCGGGAAUUUCUUUUGAUGGGUUUUUGGAAAACUUAGAAUGAAUAGAAUUUCGAAAACUAGAGACUGUAGAGAAUUUAGUAUUCAAGAAAUAAACUCAUAACUUGACUAAUCCAAUUCGAAACGUUUUUAUUAAACGAAUAAAUAUAGGGAACCUAAAGGGGAAAAUGAUUGCGAAAGACGGGGAAAUGUCGACAAGUCUUGAAGUUACUGGGAAUUGGGGAAAGCCACUGAGGUGAGCUACGGUGAUGAUUGAAAGUCACCGAGUACUCUAGUACUCUUGUUGUUAGAGUGGUGUUGUAUUGACCGACUCUAACUCUGGGUUUUGACAUUGGGUUUUGUUAUUGGAGUUGUGUUGUAUUGACCGACACUAACUCUGAGUUGUGUUGUAUUGACCGAUACUAACUCUUGGGUUUUGAGAUUGGGUUUUGAGCUAAACGCUUGUGUUGUGAGGACGAUUCGAUGUUUGGCUAACCAUAUUGCAUCAUGCAUCAUUUGGUGAAGAACGGGAAUGCUUCACCAAUGCAUAACUCGAUGAGGAACGGGAAUGCUUCAUCGAUGGUGAAGAACGGGAAUGCUUCACCAAUGCAUCAUUCGAUGAAGAACGGGAAUGCUUCGUCAAGGAUGAAGAACGGGAAUGCUUCAUCCAUAGUGAAGAACGGGAAUGCUUCACUAGUGGCGAACUGGAAUGCGUCACAAUUAUCCGGAUCAUAUUGAAUUUCAUUUCACGCAUACAUUCAUCCUGACUGGAAUUGUGUGCUGUUUGCAUUACUGAAUUGUUGUUAGAGCCUAUAACAUGCUAGGAAUAUAUUUAUAUAUAUAUAAUAACAUAUAUAUAUAUAUAUAUAUAUUCUCCAAUCACAUGUUGUUUGUAUAUCUACUCUAUUCCAUGAGUUGACCCUAGCGCCUUGGCUUUGGUUUCAUGUUUGUGUUUGGGCGGUCGUCCUGCUGCCAGACGUCGACGGUGGAUUGGGUUUCGACGGUCUCUCCCUCGGGGGGGAUCAGGUUUGAGCUGGUUGACCGACAUGCCCCACCGCUUGGGUGAUCGAUCUUGUGGGUCAUCAAGCGACGUACCGGGGAAGGGUCAUGGAGGACCGGACUGACGAGCGUGGACGUUUAACGAAGGGAGUUCUACGACGCAUGGAGCUGAGCUUCAACUUGCCGACUUCAGUUCGCUGUGGACUCGGUACCGGGAGGGUAGGUUUGGGCAGGCGUCAUAUUUUGUGUAGAGCUCUGAUUCAUUUUGCUUUUGGGACAGGGUAGGUUCCCGACGCAUGACUUUUUGUGUGGUUCUCUUACGGAGGGAUCACAGUGAGUCAGUCGGACCAUAUGGGUCUUUGCUUAGGCCAUUUUGAGGCCGACUUUCUCCUAGUGGGUUGUACUUAUAAUUUUCUCACUCACACUUCUGGAUCUGUAUAUAUUUGCCUACGGGCACACUACUUUGGAGUCACUGCGAGUGCGCGUGACGUGGGAGUGCAGCUGAGGCUGUACAUGUGUAUAUAUUUGGAUAGCGGUUAGUUAGUUGUUGGGUUAUAUCUUUAUUUUCUAUCGCUUUAAUUAAUAGGAAUCAAACGAAAAAAAAAUUACCUGUUUUCCGCGUAAAGUUUAUUUUUUAGUUACUAAAGUGACACCUAGAAAUCGGGGUGUUACAUUGUGGUAUCAGAGCUUAGUCGAGUCUUUCGGGAGUCUUUGGGGAAUAGGUCUUCUGUGCUAGGUUGUGUGACUCUGCAAAGAGUGAAAAUUGAUUGUCAGUAGAGCGAUUUUCGCUCUAAUUGUUUGCGUUACUACCUAAAUCAUAUUGAAUGGUUUGUCUAGUGCUACCGUAUGGUUAGUACUAAUUGGACGCUUAAUGAGAUAUAGGAUGGGGGACCUUAACCGGAUGGCGGAGGCAAUAGCUACACUAAUCGAGGCAAUGAUGAACCAGGCUGCGGAAGACGCUUACAUGCGCGCUGAAGAGCCUGCACAUGAGCAUCACCAACGACUGAUGGCGACGACAAUGUAUCAACAAAGAGGAAUGAACCGAACAGGAGCUGGGGGGCCAAUGAGGUCAGGUUUCCAAGGCUACAACGGAAGGGAGAGUUACCAUCAGUGGAAACCGUAUCAGCGUUUCGAGGGAAGAGAUCUUAUCGCAAGAGCGUACAAACCAACGACUGCUGAUACUGGAGGGAAGCCAGUUGGUGACAAAGGUGUGACAUGUUUUCGUUGCGGAAAGUUUGGGCAUUUUGCUAACAAGUGCUCAGUGAUUGGACGGAGAUGCUUCAAGUGUAACCGAGAGGGGCAUCUAGCUGUGAACUGCAAGACACUCUAGGGGGGAACGUCUGACAGUAAGAUGAAAGGGAUUGAUGCUACCGGAGGGACAGGAAACAAGACUUCGGGAAAAACAGUGACGUGUUACAGGUGCAGGAAAGUGGGGAACUACAGUAACAAGUGUCCAGACGGGGGACCUCUAUGCUUCAAUUGCAACCAACCGGGACAUUUAUCCAGAGAUUGCAAGGCACCCAAGGGCGAAUCAUCAGGGAAUGCAGGGAAAGGAAAACAACUUGCUGCAGAGGAAAGGAUUCAUACCAAGGAGGGAGCAAGAGCUGAGGAGUUGAACGAGGAAUAACGUGGGAACGAUGGUAAUAUUUUAACUGUUCUCUUAUUCUAGAAUAACGUACUCUUUUAUCUUCGAAACGAGUGUGGCGCGCCUAACUUGUAUUUACUACUUAGACUACGAUCUUAUGAUUAUUAUCCCUAGUAGGACCUUAUUCGAAGUUGCUCGUGAUUUAACUAUAGAAGUUACACGAGGUCUAGGAUAGCACGCUGAGUUAGGAAGUUGUUUUACCGAUGCGUCGAUAAGGAAGCUAAGACCUCAGGGAAAUUCCUUAUGGGUACAAUACGUAGGAUUUUAGGGCGUUUAGUUUUGAAGGGGAGUCGUUAGAGGAUCUUUCGGCAAAAGGAUUCAUUCGACCAAGUGUUUCACCGUGGGGAGCGCCAGUGCUUUUAGUCAAGAAGAAAGACGGAAAGUCGAGAUUAUGUGUGGACUAUCGACAACUGAACAAGGCGACGAUCAAGAACCGAUACCCGUUACCGAGGAUAGAUGAUUUGAUGGAUCAAUUACGAGGGGCUGCCGUAUUUUCCAAGAUAGACUUGAAGUCAGGCUAUCAUCAGAUCAGAGUGAAGACUGAGGAUAUACCGAAGACUGCUUUCAGAACACGUUACGGAUACUACGAGUACCUAGUGAUGUCGUUUGGAGUGACAAAUGCACCUGCUGUUUUCAUGGAUUACAGGAACCGCAUCUUUCAUGAGUUCUUAAAUCGGUUUGUGGUGGUGUUUAUUGAUGACAUACUGAUCUAUUCGAAGGACGCGAAGGAACAUGAAGGACAUUUGGGCCAAGUUUUACAAGUGUUGAGAGAGAACAAGCUGUAUGCAAACCCUUCCAAGUGUGAAUUAUGGUUGGAGGAAGUCAAUUUCUUAGGCCAUGUUAUCUCAAAGGAAGGCAUAGUUGUGGACCCAGCGAAAGUAGAGACUGUUUUGGCUUGGGAACAACCGAAGACAGUGACAGAAAUCAGAAGUUUUGUGGGUUUAGCUGGAUAUUAUAGACGCUUCAUUAAGGGAUUUGCCAAGAUUGUUGGACCUUUGACUCAAUUGACGAGGAAGGAUCAACCAUAAUUGUGGGUUUGGCAUGGACUGAGGCGUGUGAAUCAAGUUUUCAGACUUUGAAGGAACGUUUGACGACGUCACCUGUGCUUAUUUUGCCACAACCGGAGGAACCUUAUGAGGUCUACUGUGAUGCUUCGUAUCAAGGCUUGGGAUGUGUGCUGAUGCAACAUCGGAAAGUGGUGGCUUAUGCUUCGAGACAGUUGAAGACUCACGAGAGGAACUACCCGACUCACGAUUUGGAGUUAGCUGCCAUUGUGUUUUCGCUUAAAAUCUGGAGGCAUUAUCUCUAUGGUUGUACUUACACGAUAUUUAGCGAUCACAAGAGUCUUAAAUACUUGUUCGAUCAAAAGGAGUUGAACAUGAGGCAACGAAGAUGGAUGGAGUUUAUCAAGGACUACGAGUUUACGUUGCAAUAUCACCCUGGGAAGGCAAAUGUAGUUGCUGAUGCUUUGAGUAGGAAGAUGCAUGUCUCGUCAAUGAUGGUUAAAGAGCUGGAGUUACUAGAACAAUUUCGAGAUAUGAGUUUAGGUGUGACACUGUCUGAGGGGAAGUUGAAAUUCGGAAUGAUCAGAAUCGCCAGUGGACUGAUGGAAGAGAUUAGGGAGCAACAAGUGCAAGAUGCGUUUCUGCUAGAGAUGAGGAACUAAGUGAUUCAAGGGAAAGACCCGGAAUUCAAGGUAGGAACUGACAAUAUCCUACGAUGCAAGGACGGAGUUUGUGUACCCAAUAAUCCAGAAUUGAGAAGGCUGAUCAUGGAUGAAGGACACAAGAGAAAAUGGAGCAUUCAUCCGGGAAUGACAAAGAUGUAUCAAGAUUUGAAACUGAAUUUCUGGUUGCCGGGAAUGAAGAAGUAAGUGGCCGAGUAUGUAGCUGCAUGUUUGACUUGUCACAAGGCUAAGGUAGAGCAUCAAAGACCUCCUGGUAUGCUACAGAGUUUAGACGUGCCAGAAUGGAAAUGGGAUAGCAUAUCCAUGGAUUUUGUGGUAGCUUUGCCAAGAACACAGAAGAGACACGACUCGAUUUGGGUGAUUGUGGAUCGUUUAACUAAGUCAACGCAUUUUCUACCAGUGAGAACUACUUACAAUGUGGAAAAGUUGGCGGAGAUUUAUGUGGCUGAGAUUAUGAGACUACACGGAGUUCCGACGAGUAUUGUGUCUGAUCGGGAUCCAAAGAUUACUUCGCACUUUUGGGGAGCUCUUCAUGAUGCGUUAGGAACCAAGCUGAGAUUGAGUUCAACGUAUCAUCCACAAACUGAUGGGCAGACAGAGAGAACUAUUCAGUCGCUAGAAGAUCUACUACGUGCUUGUGUGUUAGAUAACAGAGGAAGCUGGGAUGAUCUUCUGCCAUUGAUUGAAUUUACAUACAACAAUAGUUUUCAUGCGAGCAUUGGGAUGGCACCGUAUGAAGCAUUGUAUGGUCGAAAGUGUAGCACACCGUUGUGUUGGUAUCAAGAUGGGGAGAGUUUGUUUAUUGGGCCAGAAUUACUGCAACAGACGACUGAGAAGGUUAAGCAGAUCAGAGAAAAGAUGAGAGCUUCACAGAGCAGACAGAAGAGUUAUGCUGAUCAGAGACGCAGAACCCUAGAGUUUGAAGAGGGAGACCAUGUGUUUCUACGAGUUACUCAGACUACGGGAGUUGGACGAGCAAGUCAAGAAAGCUCACGCCAAAGUUUAUUGGGCCUUAUCAAAUCACUUGACGUGUUGGACCAGUUGCGUAUCAGAUUGCACUACCACCAUUUCUUUCCAACAUUCACGAUGUAUUUCAUGUGUCGCAGUUAAGGAAGUACAUUCCAGACCCGACUCAUGUAAUCGAGCCAGACAAUGUUGAACUGAAGGAUGAUUUGACCUUUGAGGCACCGCCAGUGAGUAUUGGGGAUAGAAGAGUGAAACAACUGAGAGGGAAACAGAUUGCGUUGGUGAAGGUGAUAUGGAACAACGAUACGGGGGACGCUACAUGGGAAUUGGAAGAUAAGAUCAAGGAACUAUAUCCCGGACUUUUCGCAGAACUCUGAGUUUCGAGGACGAAACUUUCUUUUUGGAGGGGAGUAUUGUAAGACCUGUAUUUACAGAACAAGUUAAUUUCCGACUCACGCGUAGAAUCAGUGUAAGCGUGACAGGAGCUUGAAGUUUGAGAAAGAUUAAUGAAGAAGAAAGUUCAGGAAUUGCUUGAGGAAUGUUUCAUAGUCGUUGUAGGAAGUAGUGCGAGUCGUCUGCACACCUGCCCUAUGGCGAGAGUUUCCAGAAUAGGCUAAUUUCUCUUUUAGAGCAACGUAUUAAGUGAGACUUCAAAUCCUUGGAAAAUUUAAAGGGUCUCUUUAUUUUUCCUUCGACCAGCGUUUCAUUUCGGAACCUUGGACUGUACACACGAUAGUAUUCACUUUUCGGAAGUCCGACGACGCUAAUUUCUUUGCUUCGAAACCCUAAAUUCAAUCACUGGAUGAAGACUUUUUCUAUUCGGAACUUCUAACGAAGUUUCCGUCCGCGCAACCAGAUUUUUUUCGACGUUUCCAAUCUUUCUCCAGAACAAAGUUUUGUCGUCCGACAUUCACAGCAAAAAUUAGUUUUUCGGGACAGAUUAACUUACACCGCUUUUGAGAUUUUAUGGAUCGUUUUUCCCAAAUGUUAGAGAUUUGUUUUGAGUUCUGGAAUUAUGUCGCCAGAAUCUCUCUUAGAAUUCAUCGGUGAACGUGCUGCAGAAAUCGAAAUCGCGAAAUUUUCAUUUUCCCUCGAUUUCACCUUCUUAUAAAUAGCCAAAAAUUCAAAAUAUCUUCUCAUUUUCAUCCAUCAAGGCCGCGAGUUGAGGAGAGGAGAGGGAGAAGAUUUUUUCACCGAAACUUGACCGAUCUUCGCGCAGUUCGUUCCUACUUCAAGGUAUCGAGGUAACUAGCUUGAUUCUUACCUCUGAUCACUGUUUCUACUGCGUUUCUUUAGCUGUUUCUGUGCUCAAAGUUUUGAGCUUUUUGUAAAACUGUCCGUUUUCCUGAUUUUUCUGUUGGGGUAUCUUCUCUACAUGCCCAAGAGCCUAAAACCUUUGUCGGUAUUCGCCGAUAUGGAUCGAGUUUUCAAGGAUCUGAAAAACUCAUUCAAAACCCUUUUUGUCGCACAUUUCGAAACUUUACUGUCGAAAAGUCGUAAUCUGACUUCGUGCCUUUAGGAUUUGUUGUUACGAAUGUCGUUAGGAUCAUUGCUGUCAAAUUUGUUUUCCGAAGUGAUAACUUUGAGGUUUUGAGCUUUUAUUUUGGACCAAAACGCCCCUGAACAGCCAUAUUUCGAUC
RNAcentral lists this long non-coding RNA (7777 nucleotides) under Lotus japonicus. RNAcentral describes it as "long non-coding RNA (LJAP_LNC000081)". Lineage: Eukaryota; Viridiplantae; Streptophyta; Magnoliopsida; Fabales; Fabaceae. The record is from RNAcentral.